RNAcentral lists this long non-coding RNA (1996 nucleotides) under Citrus sinensis (sweet orange). Its description in RNAcentral is "long non-coding RNA (CSIN_LNC003409)". Lineage: Eukaryota; Viridiplantae; Streptophyta; Magnoliopsida; Sapindales; Rutaceae. The record is from RNAcentral.
UGCUUUCUAAAGGAAUUAAGCCAGAUGUUGUUACAUAUAACACCUUGUUUCGUGGCCUUUUUGAAAUACACCAGGUUGAGCAUGCUUUAAAAUUGUUUGAUGAGAUGCAGCAUAGUGAUGUGGCAGCUGAGACCUCUACGUAUAAUACCUUUAUUGACGGGCUCUGCAAGAAUGGUUAUAUUGUAGAGGCAGCUGAACUAUUUCGUACUUUGAGAGUACUCAAGUGUGAACUUGGUAUUGAAGCAUACAGCUGCCUCAUUGAUGGAUUGUGUAAAAUAGGCAAACUGGAAACUGCUUGGGAACUGUUUCAAAGUUUGCCUCGUGUAGGCCUAAUGCCAAAUGUUGUAACAUAUAACAUCAUGAUCCAUGGGUUUUGUAAUGAUGGGCAAAUGGACAAGGCACAUGAUUUAUUUCUUGAUAUGGAAGCAAAGGGUGUGGAACCCGAUUUUGUCAUAUUUAAUACGCUUAUGCUGGGUUUCAUCCGCUGUAAUGAGACAUCAAAAGUUAUUGAACUCCUUCACGGAAUGGAUAAGAGAAAUGUAAUGCCAGACGCAUCUAUACUCUCAAUUGUUGUGGACUUGCUUGUUAAGAAUGAAAUUAGUUUAAACUCGAUUCCACAUUUCAAGAGACACAAGUAAGUCAAUGAGCUGAAUGCUGAUUUACUUGCAUGUUUUUUCUGCCUAAAAUCUGGAUCUGGAGAAUCCCAUUCUUAUUACAACACAUGAAGUAUUGUUGCGUAGUGAUGGCAUGUCCCAGGUUCUGUUCAUGGAUUCUGUUUGCAGAUAUGGAUGACUCAUCAGUUAAGUUUCAAAGUCUGGCAACUUUUUGUUGUAAAAUUACUUUUUAUUAUUCAGGUCAUAUGUUUUCCUUCUAUAAUGCAUCUUUUUCAUUAGCUGGAAGUGCAAAGUUUUUAUGCUCUUUCUGUAUGACCACUUUUUCUUCACUAAAUAGAUAAAAUGGCAUUUAGUUUUUCGUUUGUGAGGCUACUAGGUUUAUGUUCAAACUUUCUGUUAGUUAAAUUGAUUGUCUUUGAUAUCUAGCACUUCUAGUUGUACUAAUUUGUACUUCUGAGUAUAUGGGAUUGCCGACUGUAAUGGGAAUUGAUGCCAAAUUAAUUAUGCAUCAAGUUUUUCAGCGUGUUCAUCUUUUAUUUCUGUUAACAUUUUGGCUUUGGACAUGCUGGAUUGUUUUUGGUUUCAGUGAUACAAAACAUCUAACUAAUUGUCCAAAGUUCUUCAUUCCUUGUGACAUAGCAUUCAAUUGAAUGGUGACUCAUGAAUCAUGAUUGUGUGUUUUGGUAUUUGUAUAAUUGUAUACUAUGUAUUGGCAAGACAAAGUUUGUUGAAACUGAGAAACAUUUUUCCGCCUUCCAUUCUUGUUUCAUAUUCUUAUGCUAACAAAUCUUGAUCAUGAUGAGUCUCCUCUUUUCUUUACAACCCACAAAUAAAGUCCUGGCCAUAAGCCUCAAGGCCUAUUGGCUAUUGCAGCGGUGAGUUCACUCUCAGGAAUCAGAUCUUUCAAAUUCGAGGAAAUUUGAAAAAAUUGCAAAUGUCUACAAAGCAAAUGGUCUAAAGGUCCUUUUUGUUAUCACUCACAGAUAUUAACGGGUGCAUGCAUAAUGUUGUUACUUACAACACGUUAAUAAAUGGGUACUGCAAGACUAAGGAUGUAGAGGAAUCUUUAAAUCUAUAUAGUGAAAUGCUUUCUAAAGGAAUUAGGCCAACAGUUGUUACAUAUAACACCUUGUUUCAUGGCCUUUUUGAAAUACACCAGGUUGAGCAUGCUUUAAAAUUGUUUGAUGAGAUGCAGCAUAGUGAUGUGGCAGCUGAGACCUCUACGUAUAAUACCUUUAUUGACGGGCUCUGCAAGAAUGGUUAUAUUGUAGAGGCAGCUGAACUAUUUCGUACUUUGAGAGUACUCAAGUGUGAACUUGGUAUUGAAGCAUACAGCUGCCUCAUUGAUGGAUUGUGUAAAAUAGGCAAACUGGAAACUGCUU